Molecule: ribosomal RNA, 253 nt
Filed under: uncultured bacterium
Lineage: Bacteria
Description: partial 16S ribosomal RNA
Rfam family: Bacterial small subunit ribosomal RNA
Source: RNAcentral
UACAGAGACUGCAAGCGUUAUUCGGAUUCACUGGGCGUAAAGGGUGCGCAGGCGGCCGUGUGUGUGAGGCGUGAAAGCCCGGGGCUCAACCCCGGAAUUGCACCUCAAACUACAUGGCUAGAGCAUUGGAGAGGGUAGCGGAAUUCACGGUGUAGCAGUGAAAUGCGUAGAUAUCGUGAGGAACACCAGAGGCGAAGGCGGCUACCUGGACAAUUGCUGACGCUCAGGCACGAAAGCGUGGGGGGCAAAAGGG